Molecule: non-coding RNA, 509 nt
Organism: Equus caballus (horse)
Lineage: Eukaryota; Metazoa; Chordata; Mammalia; Perissodactyla; Equidae
Source: RefSeq, a predicted model, not a curated record
UCAGGAUCCAGGAUAAAGGACUCUUCAUUUUUGGAGCAAAAGUCAUACCUAUUUUAAAAAAAAAUUCUAUAUGAAUAAAAAACCCAAACAACAAAAAGGACACUUGAGACCACUGUGACCUGGGCAGUGCAGUGGUAUCUAACUGACCUGGCCGCCAGCUGGCUUCCCGCUCCAACACCUUACAAAGCUGCUGCCAGGCCAGCCCCUGAAUGUUGUAUUUUUAAUGGAAUCCUUUUUGCUCCAAAAGCUUCAACUGCAGUGAAGAAAGCCAGGCUUCCUUGUCUGACAUCAAGGCUAUCCACAGUCCAUUCCCUUCCUGCUUUUCCAACCUUACCCCUACAGAAACCUUUUGUCCUAGUCAACCCGUGCUUUGGUUUAGUUAGUUUAAAGAGUACUGAAACAGGAGCCAGAGGACCUGAGUCCUAGUCUCACCCUGACUUCAUCUAGCUGUAUGAAAAGUUUUCUUUUCUGAAAAACCAGAAUAAAAUAUACCUGCCUUGUUAAUCUCA